GGUCAUAGUAAAUUCAGCAUGAAAGAGAAUAUUACAGAAAAGACAGCAGCAGAAGCAUUAGCAUUAUCUAAUAUUUAUAUAUGUUAUCAACAUAACACAGCAGUAAAAGGUUUAAAUGCAUAUCAAUGGGUACCAUGUCUAAAAAUUACUAUAGUACCUAUUUAGUGUAUUGGAUAUUUUUCUUAAAGAGUGUUUGCUGUAACUAGAACAGCAUAAUACAUGAUUUAGUACAGUUAAUUCUUAUUGAUUAAAUAAUGUAUUUAUGUACUGAAGAAAGUGAAAAGGAGACAGAUAUUUUUUGCUUCAUUUUGAUUCCAGAUUUAACAUUUAAAUGAAGAUUCCAAAGGACCAUGACAUGUCAUUAUUUAACUGAAAUGGGCUUCAAAAUAUUUAAAAGACGGUAUGAUUUGUAUCUAAACAGCAAGGUGGCACCAGAUACACGUAAUGCUACUGGCCUAUGAC
RNAcentral lists this long non-coding RNA (462 nucleotides) under Homo sapiens (human). RNAcentral describes it as "non-protein coding lnc-ARL4A-8:1". The record is from RNAcentral. Lineage: Eukaryota; Metazoa; Chordata; Mammalia; Primates; Hominidae.